Long non-coding RNA from Syngnathus acus (greater pipefish), 994 nucleotides. RefSeq lists it as uncharacterized. The record is from RefSeq and is a predicted model, not a curated record. NCBI's taxonomy places the organism in Eukaryota, Metazoa, Chordata, Actinopteri, Syngnathiformes, Syngnathidae. The transcript is spliced from 3 exons.
CGCACACACACACACUGUGUCUGUGACAGCAGAGGUGACUUUUGAGGAAAUGCUGCGGAAGUAGAGGAACUAGGAAGAUGAAUAAAACACAGUUAAGGGGAUGAAGACUACUUAUCAUCAUGAUGGGUGACAGAUGAUUGAGAGCUGUCAGUCAUCAGGAGGAAAAAAGUUCAACAGAGCAGCUGACAUGUUCACGUCCAACGUCAUCAGCUCGACUUUCAGCGCCGGCCGACAUUGUGGCGGAAUCUGGGGCGGCUGAGCUUCACUCUCUUGCAAAUUUCCCCAAAUUGGAGCCUCCUGAUCUUCAUCACUACUUCAAGCACCUCCUAGCCUCCGAGCUGCUUUUUCGACAGCAAACUGCAAAUAAGGCUCUCUCGCACACAUGAUAAAAAGCACCAAAGUGAGUCAGUGUUGGAUGUGAUGAGGAUGAAGAUGAGGGGGCGGGCACUGCUGCUCAGAUUACUCAUUAAGGGAGACCAUCAUGACGAGGAGGAGGAAGAUGAUGAGAACAAACAAGAUGAAGAUGAUGACCCCAACUGUCCGUGCGGCACUCGGUUGACCUCAGCUGACCUCUGGCGCUUCAAUGUCAUUGGCUGAUGUGGACACUCCCCAACAUUGGAACUCUGACCUUGCCGGCGGGCCUUCUGUGUUUGUUUUUUUGUUUUCAUUUUGAAACGUGAUAAUUGAUGCAAAUGAGCUCGACAAAGAGACAUCAAAGGCAGUGGAAGAAGCCUGUUUGGACAAGAUAAAAGCAGAAAACACCAGCCGUCGUCAUUGGAAGGAGCUGCUUGGAACACAGGACAAACCCCAGGUCUUGCGUCUGCACUCCGGUGGAUCCCCCCUUUCAGCACAGCUGCUCGCUUUUAUGAGAGUCUUCUGCGUGACUGAGGGCAAGACCUACAGCGUACAGUAACAUCUUGACAACGGAGUAUCCACUACCAACUACUCACGACAUUCAGCGAACAUGACGGGAGCCGGUAAAGGAAAGAAGUGU